UACGUAGGGGGCAAGCGUUGUCCGGAUUUAUUGGGCGUAAAGAGCGUGUAGGCGGCCAUACAGGUCAGCUGUGAAAACUCGAGGCUCAACCUCGAGACGUCGGUUGAAAGCGUAUGGCUAGAGUCCGGAAGAGGAGAGUGGAAUUCCCGGUGUAGCGGUGAAAUGCGCAGAUAUCGGGAAGAACACCCGUGGGGAAGGCGGCUCUCUGGGACGGUACUGACGCUGAGACGCGAAAGCGUGGGGAGCGAACAGG
Molecule: ribosomal RNA, 253 nt
Filed under: uncultured bacterium
Lineage: Bacteria
Description: partial 16S ribosomal RNA
Rfam family: Bacterial small subunit ribosomal RNA
Source: RNAcentral